RNAcentral lists this ribosomal RNA (464 nucleotides) under uncultured bacterium. RNAcentral's name for it is "bacterial SSU rRNA". It matches the Rfam family "Bacterial small subunit ribosomal RNA", at positions 28 to 491 of the family's 1533-position model. The record is from RNAcentral.
GAUGAACGCUAGCGGCAGGCUUAACACAUGCAAGUCGAGGGGUAUAGUUCUUCGGAAUUAGAGACCGGCGCACGGGUGCGUAACGCGUAUGCAAUCUACCUUUUACAGGGGAAUAGCCCAGAGAAUUUGGAUUAAUGCCCCAUGGUAUUAUAGGAUGGCAUCAUUUUAUAAUUAAAGUUCCAACGGUAAAAGAUGAGCAUGCGUCCCAUUAGUUAGUUGGUAAGGUAACGGCUUACCAAGACGAUGAUGGGUAGGGGUCCUGAGAGGGAGAUCCCCCACACUGGUACUGAGACACGGACCAGACUCCUACGGGAGGCAGCAGUGAGGAAUAUUGGACAAGUGGGCGCAAGCCUGAUCCAGCCAUGCCGCGUGCAGGAAGAAGCACUCUAGUGGUGUGUAAACUGCUUUUGUGCGGGAAGAAACACUCCUACGUGUAGGAGCUUGACGGUACCGUAAGAAUAAGG